Molecule: ribosomal RNA, 963 nt
Filed under: Triticum aestivum (bread wheat)
Lineage: Eukaryota; Viridiplantae; Streptophyta; Magnoliopsida; Poales; Poaceae
Description: partial small subunit ribosomal RNA
Source: RNAcentral
AUGCAGGACCUGUUCUCGGUGCCCUCCUGCUUCUCGUCCGGCGAGAAGCAGCUGCCGGACGCGCCGGCGUCCGCGGCGCCGGCGACCAGGUCGGGGCAGAGCGCCGUGACGCUGGUGUACCGCGCGGUGAUCUCCGAGCAGAGCCGGCUGGUCACCGUGACGUGGUGUAGGAACCUGCUCGCCCACGGCAUGCAGGUGUCCAUCGAGGGGUCGGCCGGCGGCGGCAAGGACAAGAGCGGCGGCGGCGGGGGCAGGGAGCACGCCAGCGGCGGCGGCAUCGAGGGCGGCGGCGCCAAGAGCUGCAGCGCGUGCAAGGUGGAGAUGCAGCCAUGGCACUUCUGGCGCAAGUACGGGGCCAAGCAGUUCCAGGUGGACGGCCGGCCGGUCGACGUGGUGUGGGACCUGCGGGCCGCGCGGUUCUCCGACGAGCCGGAGCCGGUGUCGGACUACUACGUGGCGGUCGUGUCCGGCGAGGAGGUGGUGCUGCUGCUCGGCAACCAGAACAAGGAGGCGUUCCGGCGGACGGGGGCCCGGCCCUCGCUGUCGCUGGGGGACGCGGCCAUGGUGUGCAAGAAGGAGCACGUGUUCAGCAAGAAGCGGUUCCUGACCCGGGCGAGGUUCCACGAGAAGGGCAAGCUGCACGACAUCAGCAUCGAAUGCAGCAGCGGCAACCUCGGCGGCGGCACGGACGUGGACAUGGCCAUCAAGAUCGACGGCUGCGUCAACGUGCUCGUCAAGCACCUCCAGUGGAAGUUCAGGGGCAACGACUGCAUCUCCAUCAACAAGAUGAAGGUGCAGGUCUACUGGGACGCCCACGACUGGCUCUUCGGCACCGGCAUGCGCCAGGCCCUCUUCAUCUUCAAGCCCCAGGCCCCCUCGCCGUCACCCGACUUCGACGCCGCCAUCGCCGCCGACGAGUUCUCCGAUUUCUGCCUCUUCCUCUACGCAUGGAAGAUCGAAUGA